GGGGGAGACUCUUUAAAGUGCGUCAGAGGGGAGAGGCGAACUUCUGGCCGGCGCGAUCCUGGAGGGACGGAUCCAGGUCCGGACUGGAACGGACUCUCUGCCGCUGCCAGCCAGCCAGACGGGCGGCCGGGGGGAGACAGACGCGAGGAGACGCGGCAGCAGGCGGAGGUCCCGAGAGGCGCCGCGUCGAGUCCCGCCGGGAGUCAGCGCAUCUGACCUUCGACACGUUGACUUGAAGGAAGCCAGUUUCAGGGAUCUCCGAGAGAGCAUUCGCUUCAUCUAAGGUCGUGUCUAGGACGAUUCCCUCCAAAAUAUCGGAUGAACAGAGUUUCGACUUCCGAAAACUCAGAGCCGAAAACCUCGUUGGUCCCUAAGAAUGCGUAACAGAGACUUCAUCUUUGAAUAAUUUCCCCCAUCCCAAACUCUCUGCAAAUGGACUCAGAGGCUAGAAUGGAACCCAUCUCCCUGAGGCGUUAGAUCUCUGUUCUUACAGACUUACAAAAUUGAUGUAUUUAUUCUUCUGAUUGAUUUAUUCUUCCGUCCAAGCAGCAUUGUAAGGAACAGAAGCUGUGUAAAGAAGUAGACAUUUUUCCAAACUGAUUUGAAUGGGAUCCUACUGCUGGGAGUAACUGGGACACAGAGGGAAGCACCAGAGACAGGAAUCAUUUUGCUCCAGUUCCACAGUCUCCUUCUCAAAGCCCUCCAGUUCCAAUGCAGAAAAUCUAUUACUUAAAGGAACAGCAGGAAACGUCUUCAUGAUCUCUUGCAUGGCUCAACCUAGAGUGAAGAACCAUGUCGAAACCAUUGGACCUCAUACUCCGAAUUUAUGAAGUAUCUUCUCAGUCCAUGAAGGAUCUCAGGAAAUGCAGAAGGAGUGGCUAUUUGCCAUGGGAAUGCAAGAACAGAGGGAUGCCCUACCUACAAUCCACAGAGAGUCAUGACCGAAGGUGGCUCUGAACUCAGUAAAUUCAAACUG
Molecule: long non-coding RNA, 976 nt
Organism: Sphaerodactylus townsendi
Lineage: Eukaryota; Metazoa; Chordata; Lepidosauria; Squamata; Sphaerodactylidae
Exons: 7
Source: RefSeq, a predicted model, not a curated record